Chlorocebus sabaeus (green monkey) is the source of this 2649-nucleotide non-coding RNA. The record is from RefSeq and is a predicted model, not a curated record. NCBI's taxonomy places the organism in Eukaryota, Metazoa, Chordata, Mammalia, Primates, Cercopithecidae.
GUGACAGCCUCCUUCCUCUCCUUUACAACUAGAGAGAUGUUGCCUCUGGCUCCAAAGACCAUCUUCCAUCAAGGAAAGAGGGACAUUCCCAAUACUGUGACCUCCAACCCCAUGGGUUGCAGGGUUUCCCAUCUCUGAUCUCACCCAGGAAGUCCUGGUCAUGUCAUGGUCACAUAUGUUUAGUGGGAAAAAACACCACCGAUACAACUGUCAUUGUGAAAGUACGGAAGUCUGGAGUCUCUCAUAAGCCUGGGGUUCUGGGUCAUCAGAUCCUAUGCAAACCUUACCUGGGGUGAGCUUUCGGACGAGGUGCUGUGCCAGCCUACAGCCCUCGGCCAGCUGUUCUUGGAGGUCCCUCCCCUGGAAGUUGGCCGGCUCAUCCAGAGUGAGGAGGGCCUGGAGAUGCUGAUUCAAUGCGCGGGAGGCAUCUCUCCCUUCCCGCAACUUCUCCCUUAACUGGCUCAGCUCUCGUUCCUGAGACUGAACCAGGACUUUAUAUUGCCUAAGGAGAGAUAGUAGAGAAAAUAGAACAGUGGAAAGGGGUGACUGAUCAGUUCGAAUACUGCGACAGAGAUUUCUGAGACAAUGUCCUCAAGGAGACCUCCAAGGAGAAGGUCAGCACAUAUUUCAAAUGUCUGUGACCAAGAGAAAGAACAAAAAAUGGUUUACAGGCUUCGUCUAUAUCAGAGAGGGCUCCUGUAAGAUCCUCGACAAUGUUCCAUUUAUUUUUCCCUUCUGUAAACAAAAGUAGGUGACUUCCUUAUUCAGUUUCAAAAAGACAUUCAUUCUUUCAGUUCCUCACUCUGGCCAGGGACAUUUCCAUAUGAAAAUACACAUAGUGCAUCUCACAGUCUCUAGAUGCAAAGCCAUGGACAGAAAUGAGGCCCGGUGCAGAGGGGACCAGUCGAAAAGAUGAAAGAAGAAAAGAAUGACAGGCUCCAGAAGGCAACACUGAUUGACCGAAAGGAUGAGAAGCCGCAGUCAGUCAGGAGGUGAUUCUGACUAAGGAAGUAAGGGAAGGAUUAAAUUAUUUUUGAUGGAGAGAGAAUUCAGUUUCUCAGAGAGAAGACAGGACAUCAUUCAUCACUUUCGUGAUGGUGAGCCUAUGGAACUUACUAACAUGGCAAGAUUGAGGUUAUGGUCAGGGUUGGCUGGUGAUCCUCAGUGGUGCAGCAGAAGGUGAGUUUGAGAUGAGAGGAAUGAGUAGGAAAGAGCAAUCCCCUGAGCCACCUCCUCACUUUCUCAGCUUCCAUCCCCACCGAGGUUUUGUGAGCCUGGAACUUGGGAGACUGUUCUGUAGCCCAGGUCUCCUAGGAUUGGCUGCUGGACUUGCCUGACUUGUGGGUGCACUGGGUGUGAUCCUGGGCCGCUCAGCAUUCAUGUGGAAGUGAAGGAACGAGGACUGGAUCAAUCCCAUUUGAAGGGGUGCCUCACUGCAGCCCGCACCGUCCUCCAAUGACACUGUAAGGAUACUGCUUUGAGAUGUAUCAACAGCUUUAAGUAAAUGUAUUUUCCGGGGUCUGGGAGACCUGACGUUCUGUGUCAUGAUGAAAAUCUGUCAAGUUUUUUCAUUUUAAAAAUGAUAAAACUGCAGGUUCACAAAGUUACAUGGCUUACUUGAGGUCACACAGGGAUGAGUUUUCAGCACUGCCAAUAAAAGCAAUCACAGUCAUUAUUCAGUCAUUAUUCAUAGGAUCCACAUAAUUCAGUAAAUAUUCACAUAAUUAUUUAGUAGAUAUUCACUGACCAAUUCAUACAAGGCAUUUUGCUCAAAACUGUGCUCAUAUUUGGAUGUUGUAUCUUCACCAUAAUCCUUAAGGUAAUGCUAUUAUCCAUACGUAACAGGUAAGAAACCUGAAGAAGAGGGAUAGCAAAGCAUGUAUGUGGACAUAUUUCCAUUUUUUGGUUUUUGUGAUGCUGGAAGAAUGACCAGAAUGAGUCACAGGAAGAAUAUACAUACCUGGAUUAUUUUCCAGGACAGAGGUGUGCCCUCCUAGAGUACUGGGACCAAAAUUCUCAAGUGUCUGAAACCUUGCUUUAACAUUAUGGGAAAUAACCUCUAUCUCCUGGAAUUUCCCUGAAAAUUUGGAAUAUACAAGAGAAGUAUGAGACUUGGGUCUUCCCUUGGCUGUGUUUAAUUCACUCUUCUAUGGAAUACCAAUGAUUCUCACUAAGACUUUUGCCUUUUUAUAACCACAGUGUAUGUUUCAUGGAGAUGAUUUUACACUUUGCUCUAUUUAGAAAGAAUAAAUAUGAGCAAUGGUUUAGGUGUUAUGCCUUGGACUUAAUAUUUUUCUGAUUCCUGUUUUGAGAUUAAAUUCUCAUGGAAAUAGAAAAAUACUUAUGAUUUCUCAUAAGGCCAAGUUUGUUAUUAGUUUGAGUUUUUGAAGUUGAAGCACAAACCUUAGAUUUGUGCACUCAAUUUGGGGACCCACUGAUAGCACUGACCUUACAGUUGAUGGGAUGAUUCUUUGUGUUUUGCUGAUGAAGAAACUGAGGCACAGAGAGUCUCUAACUUGUCCAAGUUCCCCUUGCUGUAAGUCCUGGAGCCAGAUCUCAGGUGGAGCAGCCUCUUCCCCACUCCCUUCUCACAUUUUCCAAUCCAGCUGGGUCAGUUCCUUCCAAGUACAUGUUUUGCUCCCUCAUACC